GGAAUAAGAGCGGCCAUAGCUACACUACCAUAUGAGAGUAUGAAUUUCAAAGUAUAGAAUAAUGGCAAAAGUUUUAUAAUGCAUAAAUGGCAAAAGUUUUAUGAUGCAUAAAUGGCAAAAGUUUUAUGAUGCAUAAAUGGCAAAAGUUUUAUGAUGCAUAAUUGGCAAAGGUUUUAAGAUGCAUAAAUGGCAAAAGUUUUAUGAUGCAUAAAUGGCAAAAGUUUUAUGAUGUAUAAUCAUAUUUAUGAAGUUGCAUAAAUGGACUUGCAUAGUUUUAUGACUGGUUGGAUUAUAUGAAAUAUUUACUUUAUUACAAGCACAGAUUUCAAAGCAUGAAUAAUGACAGCACAGCUUUCAAAGCAUGAAUAAUGAUAAGUACGGAUUUCAAAGCAAGAAUAAUGAUGAGUACGGAUUUCAAAGUAUGGAAUAAAGACAAGUUUUAAGUCUGGUUCGAUUAUAUGUUGUAUAAAGUGUUUACUUUAUUACAACCUUUAGUUUCUUAAAAUAAUGCACUAGUAUGAAGAAUAUUAUGCUUGAUCCGAUAAGAUUAUGCUUGUUUACUUACUGGGCUUUAUAGCUCACAUUAUUCUAUUUAUAUCUUUACAGAUGAAUAGGAGAUGCUAGGAACAAGGAGCGUAACAUGCUCCAGGGUUAUGGGAAAGAUGAAUGUUAAAUGUUGAUAUUGUUUUUAGAAGCUUUGUAUGGAUUUUAAUACAUGAACAUUUAAUAACUUUCAUGAAUAUAGUUGUUUACAAUUUGAAGAUUUAAAGUGGCUGCAUGUUAUUGUAUGCUUAACUUGGCAAUAACACGGCCGUGUCAUGAACCGAAUUCGGGGCGUGACAAGUUGUACCAAGGAUUUUAUAAUUUAAGAUUAUGUUAUUAG
RNAcentral lists this long non-coding RNA (883 nucleotides) under Phoenix dactylifera (date palm). Its description in RNAcentral is "long non-coding RNA (PDAC_LNC017241)". The record is from RNAcentral. Lineage: Eukaryota; Viridiplantae; Streptophyta; Magnoliopsida; Arecales; Arecaceae.